Molecule: long non-coding RNA, 493 nt
Organism: Priapulus caudatus
Lineage: Eukaryota; Metazoa; Priapulida; Priapulimorpha; Priapulimorphida; Priapulidae
Exons: 4
Source: RefSeq, a predicted model, not a curated record
AGCUGAUCGACUUCUACUCGAAAAACAGUUUGUGUUCGAUAUUUGCGAACGUCGACAUCAAGCUAACACUGCCGUUUUCGUCGAAAGGUGACGCGUCCUCCUGCAUGACAAAGUAUGCCUUUAAUGGAAAUUCCUCAAAUCAGCUGUCUUUCAAGAAGGGUGAUCUAAUUAAGAUAUUGGACAGACAGGGAGAGAACCGGGGCUGGUGGAAGGGAGAGCUGCAAGGCGAGCGUUCUAAUGUGUUUGAUAUGCUGUUGGGAAACUUGAGGAGCAUCCACAGUUACGUACUGCGACACAGGCAUCCUAGGUGAUACAUGUAGGCGCGUUCAUCACAGGAGAUCUGGCAUGGUCGGAUAUUUCCCUCUUACGUACGUGACUGAGCUCGGGUGAAUGGACAAUCAACCGACGAGGAAUGGCACAGAACAGCAGCAGCAGCAGCAGCAACAUCAUCACCAGUAGAACCAGCAGCAGCAGAAGCAGCGAAUGAAUAAGA